RNAcentral lists this ribosomal RNA (2927 nucleotides) under Salmonella enterica subsp. enterica serovar Typhimurium str. SARA13. RNAcentral describes it as "bacterial LSU rRNA". It matches the Rfam family "Bacterial large subunit ribosomal RNA". The record is from RNAcentral. Lineage: Bacteria; Pseudomonadati; Pseudomonadota; Gammaproteobacteria; Enterobacterales; Enterobacteriaceae.
GGGUUGUGAGGUUAAGCGACUAAGCGUACACGGUGGAUGCCCUGGCAGUCAGAGGCGAUGAAGGGCGUGCUAAUCUGCGAUAAGCGCCGGUAAGGUGAUAUGAACCGUUAUAACCGGCGAUACCCGAAUGGGGAAACCCAGUGUGACUCGUCACACUAUCAUUAACUGAAUCCAUAGGUUAAUGAGGCGAACCGGGGGAACUGAAACAUCUAAGUACCCCGAGGAAAAGAAAUCAACCGAGAUUCCCCCAGUAGCGGCGAGCGAACGGGGAGGAGCCCAGAGCCUGAAUCAGCAUGUGUGUUAGUGGAAGCGUCUGGAAAGGCGCGCGAUACAGGGUGACAGCCCCGUACACAAAAGCGCAUGUGCUGUGAGCUCGAUGAGUAGGGCGGGACACGUGGUAUCCUGUCUGAAUAUGGGGGGACCAUCCUCCAAGGCUAAAUACUCCUGACUGACCGAUAGUGAACCAGUACCGUGAGGGAAAGGCGAAAAGAACCCCGGCGAGGGGAGUGAAAAAGAACCUGAAACCGUGUACGUACAAGCAGUGGGAGCACCCUUCGGGGUGUGACUGCGUACCUUUUGUAUAAUGGGUCAGCGACUUAUAUUCUGUAGCAAGGUUAACCGUAUAGGGGAGCCGGAGGGAAACCGAGUCUUAAUUGGGCGUUAAGUUGCAGGGUAUAGACCCGAAACCCGGUGAUCUAGCCAUGGGCAGGUUGAAGGUUGGGUAACACUAACUGGAGGACCGAACCGACUAAUGUUGAAAAAUUAGCGGAUGACCUGUGGCUGGGGGUGAAAGGCCAAUCAAACCGGGAGAUAGCUGGUUCUCCCCGAAAGCUAUUUAGGUAGCGCCUCGUGAAUUCAUCUCCGGGGGUAGAGCACUGUUUCGGCUAGGGGGCCAUCCCGGCUUACCAACCCGAUGCAAACUGCGAAUACCGGAGAAUGUUAUCACGGGAGACACACGGCGGGUGCUAACGUCCGUCGUGAAGAGGGAAACAACCCAGACCGCCAGCUAAGGUCCCAAAGUCAUGGUUAAGUGGGAAACGAUGUGGGAAGGCCCAGACAGCCAGGAUGUUGGCUUAGAAGCAGCCAUCAUUUAAAGAAAGCGUAAUAGCUCACUGGUCGAGUCGGCCUGCGCGGAAGAUGUAACGGGGCUAAACCAUGCACCGAAGCUGCGGCAGCGACGCUGAUGCGUUGUUGGGUAGGGGAGCGUUCUGUAAGCCUGCGAAGGUGACCUGUGAGGGUUGCUGGAGGUAUCAGAAGUGCGAAUGCUGACAUAAGUAACGAUAAAGCGGGUGAAAAGCCCGCUCGCCGGAAGACCAAGGGUUCCUGUCCAACGUUAAUCGGGGCAGGGUGAGUCGACCCCUAAGGCGAGGCCGAAAGGCGUAGUCGAUGGGAAACGGGUUAAUAUUCCCGUACUUGGUGUUACUGCGAAGGGGGGACGGAGAAGGCUAUGUUGGCCGGGCGACGGUUGUCCCGGUUUAAGCGUGUAGGUGUGUGUUCCAGGUAAAUCCGGUUCACUUUAACACUGAGGCGUGAUGACGAGGCACUACGGUGCUGAAGCAACAAAUGCCCUGCUUCCAGGAAAAGCCUCUAAGCAUCAGGUAACACGAAAUCGUACCCCAAACCGACACAGGUGGUCAGGUAGAGAAUACCAAGGCGCUUGAGAGAACUCGGGUGAAGGAACUAGGCAAAAUGGUGCCGUAACUUCGGGAGAAGGCACGCUGACACGUAGGUGAAGUGAUUUACUCAUGGAGCUGAAGUCAGUCGAAGAUACCAGCUGGCUGCAACUGUUUAUUAAAAACACAGCACUGUGCAAACACGAAAGUGGACGUAUACGGUGUGACGCCUGCCCGGUGCCGGAAGGUUAAUUGAUGGGGUCAGCGUAAGCGAAGCUCCUGAUCGAAGCCCCGGUAAACGGCGGCCGUAACUAUAACGGUCCUAAGGUAGCGAAAUUCCUUGUCGGGUAAGUUCCGACCUGCACGAAUGGCGUAAUGAUGGCCAGGCUGUCUCCACCCGAGACUCAGUGAAAUUGAACUCGCUGUGAAGAUGCAGUGUACCCGCGGCAAGACGGAAAGACCCCGUGAACCUUUACUAUAGCUUGACACUGAACAUUGAGCCUUGAUGUGUAGGAUAGGUGGGAGGCUUUGAAGUGUGGACGCCAGUCUGCAUGGAGCCGACCUUGAAAUACCACCCUUUAAUGUUUGAUGUUCUAACGUGGACCCGUAAUCCGGGUUGCGGACAGUGUCUGGUGGGUAGUUUGACUGGGGCGGUCUCCUCCUAAAGAGUAACGGAGGAGCACGAAGGUUGGCUAAUCCUGGUCGGACAUCAGGAGGUUAGUGCAAUGGCAUAAGCCAGCUUGACUGCGAGCGUGACGGCGCGAGCAGGUGCGAAAGCAGGUCAUAGUGAUCCGGUGGUUCUGAAUGGAAGGGCCAUCGCUCAACGGAUAAAAGGUACUCCGGGGAUAACAGGCUGAUACCGCCCAAGAGUUCAUAUCGACGGCGGUGUUUGGCACCUCGAUGUCGGCUCAUCACAUCCUGGGGCUGAAGUAGGUCCCAAGGGUAUGGCUGUUCGCCAUUUAAAGUGGUACGCGAGCUGGGUUUAGAACGUCGUGAGACAGUUCGGUCCCUAUCUGCCGUGGGCGCUGGAGAACUGAGGGGGGCUGCUCCUAGUACGAGAGGACCGGAGUGGACGCAUCACUGGUGUUCGGGUUGUCAUGCCAAUGGCACUGCCCGGUAGCUAAAUGCGGAAGAGAUAAGUGCUGAAAGCAUCUAAGCACGAAACUUGCCCCGAGAUGAGUUCUCCCUGAGACUUAGAGUCUCCUGAAGGAACGUUGAAGACGACGACGUUGAUAGGCCGGGUGUGUAAGCGCAGCGAUGCGUUGAGCUAACCGGUACUAAUGAACCGUGAGGCUUAACCUUACAACGCCGAAG